Molecule: long non-coding RNA, 239 nt
Filed under: Lathyrus oleraceus (garden pea)
Lineage: Eukaryota; Viridiplantae; Streptophyta; Magnoliopsida; Fabales; Fabaceae
Description: Pisum sativum (pea) long non-coding RNA (PSAT_LNC022280)
Source: RNAcentral
UCGAACCAUCGGAUACAACAAAUUGCUUAAUGAAAUCUAGAAUAUGAACACCAAAUUCUAAAUUUACUUCGCGUUCAACAUCAACUUUCGCUAAUACAUCCGCCUACUUGUUCGCUUCCCAAUAAGAAUGAGAAACAUUCAACAUCAACUUUCGCUAAUACAUUCACGUACUUGUUCGCUUCCCAAUAAAAAUGAGAAACAUUCACUUCAACGUGCAUCUCUAUAAAAAGUAAAAUCAG